RNAcentral lists this ribosomal RNA (469 nucleotides) under uncultured Streptococcus sp. RNAcentral describes it as "bacterial SSU rRNA". It matches the Rfam family "Bacterial small subunit ribosomal RNA", at positions 908 to 1382 of the family's 1533-position model. Lineage: Bacteria; Bacillati; Bacillota; Bacilli; Lactobacillales; Streptococcaceae. The record is from RNAcentral.
AAAUUGACGGGACCCCGCACAAGCGGUGGAUCAUGUUGUUUAAUUCGAUGAUACGCGAAGAACCUUACCAGGUCUUGACAUCCCCUGCAAAGCUAUGGAGACAUAGUGGAGGUUAUCAGGGAGACAGGUGGUGCAUGGUUGUCGUCAGCUCGUGUCGUGAGAUGUUGGGUUAAGUCCCGCAACGAGCGCAACCCCUAUUGUUAGUUGCCAUCAUUCAGUUGGGCACUCUAGCGAGACUGCCGGUAAUAAACCGGAGGAAGUGGGGAUGACGUCAAAUCAUCAUGCCCCUUAUGACCUGGGCUACACACGUGCUACAAUGGUUGGUACAACGAGUUGCGAGUCGGUGACGGCGAGCUAAUCUCUUAAAGCCAAUCUCAGUUCGGAUUGUAGGCUGCAACUCGCCUACAUGAAGUCGGAAUCGCUAGUAAUCGCGGAUCAGCACGCCGCGGUGAAUACGUUCCCGGGCCUU